UAGCUCAGUCAGUAGAGCAUGAGACUCUUAAUCUCAGGGUUGUGGGUUUGUACCCCAU
This 58-nucleotide transfer RNA is filed under the name Neotoma lepida (desert woodrat). It matches the Rfam family "tRNA", at positions 8 to 63 of the family's 71-position model. From Rfam's summary of the family: Transfer RNA (tRNA) molecules are approximately 80 nucleotides in length. Their secondary structure includes four short double-helical elements and three loops (D, anti-codon, and T loops). Further hydrogen bonds mediate the characteristic L-shaped molecular structure. tRNAs have two regions of fundamental functional importance: the anti-codon, which is responsible for specific mRNA codon recognition, and the 3' end, to which the tRNAs corresponding amino acid is attached (by aminoacyl-tRNA synthetases). tRNAs cope with the degeneracy of the genetic code in two manners: having more than one tRNA (with a specific anti-codon) for a particular amino acid; and 'wobble' base-pairing, i.e. permitting non-standard base-pairing at the 3rd anti-codon position. The record is from Rfam by way of RNAcentral. Lineage: Eukaryota; Metazoa; Chordata; Mammalia; Rodentia; Cricetidae.